AGAAUCAACGCUGGCGGCGUGCCUAACACAUGCAAGUCGAACGAGAAAGUGGAGCAAUCCAUGAGUAAAGUGGCGCACGGGUGAGUAACACGUGACUAACCUACCCUUGAGUGGGGAAUAAACUUCGGGAAACCGAGGCUAAUACCGCAUAACACCUACGGGUCAAAGGAGCAAUUCGCUUAAGGAGGGGGUCGCGGCAGAUUAGUUAGUUGGCAGGGUAAUGGCCUACCAAGACGGUGAUCUGUA
This 246-nucleotide ribosomal RNA is filed under the name uncultured bacterium. RNAcentral's name for it is "partial small subunit ribosomal RNA". It matches the Rfam family "Bacterial small subunit ribosomal RNA", at positions 26 to 285 of the family's 1533-position model. The record is from RNAcentral.